Molecule: unclassified non-coding RNA, 158 nt
Filed under: uncultured Curvularia
Lineage: Eukaryota; Fungi; Ascomycota; Dothideomycetes; Pleosporales; Pleosporaceae
Description: sequence contains ITS1
Source: RNAcentral
CACAAAAAAUAUGAAGGCUGUACGCAGCUGAAUUAUUUUUCACCCAUGUCUUUUGCGCACUUGUUGUUUCCUGGGCGGGUUCGCCCGCCACCAGGACCACACCAUAAACCUUUUUUAUGCAGUUGCAAUCAGCGUCAGUAAAACAAGUAAUUAAUUUA